RNAcentral lists this ribosomal RNA (493 nucleotides) under uncultured bacterium. RNAcentral's name for it is "partial 16S ribosomal RNA". It matches the Rfam family "Bacterial small subunit ribosomal RNA", at positions 28 to 506 of the family's 1533-position model. The record is from RNAcentral.
GACGAACGCUGGCGGCGUGCUUAACACAUGCAAGUCGAACGGAAAGGCCUGCUUUCCCUUGUGGAUUGCGGGUACUCGGGUGGCGAACGGGUGAGUAACACGUGAGUGAUCUGCCCCCAACUUGGGUAUAAGCCUGGGAAACUGGGCCUAAUUCCCGAUAGGACUGCAGGGUGGUGCCUGUGGUGGAAAACGAUUUUCUAGUGGUUGGGGAUGAGCUCGCGGCCUAUCAGCUUGUUGGUGGGGGAAUGGCCUACCAAGGGGGCGACGGGUAGCCGGCCUGGGGGGGUGGGCCGCCACCUUGGGCCUGGUCUUCGGCCCCGACUCCCACCGGGGGCCACGGUGGGGGAUAUUGCCCCAUGGGCGGAGGCCUUAUGCCGCGGCCCCGCGGGGGGGAUGACGGCCUUCGGGUUUUAAACCCCUUUCGACCCCGAGGAAGCCCCCUGGUUGGAAGGGUGGUGACGGUAGUGGUAGAAGAAGCCCCCGCUACCUCCCU